Molecule: non-coding RNA, 32 nt
Filed under: Mus musculus (house mouse)
Lineage: Eukaryota; Metazoa; Chordata; Mammalia; Rodentia; Muridae
Source: RNAcentral
UCUCACUUUCCAAAGUAAGUAACUGCUCAGAC